AUGGAUUGAUGACGUGAGAAUAAACUGCGUUAUCUAUCUGAAAUUUCCAAACUAGAGCUGAAGAAUACAUUAAGCUUGCUGAGAUCCAAU
This 90-nucleotide small nucleolar RNA is filed under the name Olea europaea subsp. europaea. RNAcentral describes it as "Small nucleolar RNA snoR27". It matches the Rfam family "Small nucleolar RNA snoR27". Lineage: Eukaryota; Viridiplantae; Streptophyta; Magnoliopsida; Lamiales; Oleaceae. The record is from Rfam by way of RNAcentral.